GCCUAAUCCUCUCCGCUUUUUGUGAACGUCCUAGCCAGAAUCGGAGCGGGACUCCGCCGCCGAGCGCCUAGGCGCCGCCGAGCGCCUAGGCGCCGCCGAGGCGGCCGCCUAGGACGAUUUUUAGAACACUGCCUGCAUAUGAUUCUAACAUGUCUCUAAAUAAAAAACAAAAAACAAAGUUCUAUCCCCAAUCUCACGUUCUCC
Molecule: long non-coding RNA, 204 nt
Filed under: Malus domestica (apple)
Lineage: Eukaryota; Viridiplantae; Streptophyta; Magnoliopsida; Rosales; Rosaceae
Description: long non-coding RNA (MDOM_LNC013538)
Source: RNAcentral